AAGGAGCACCACGAAAAGCACCCCAACUGGUGGGGUGCGAGCCGUGAGGGGUUCCCGUCUGUAGUGGACGGGGGCCGGGUGCGCAACAGCAAAUGAUUGCCAGACACACUAUUGGGCCCUGAGACAACACUCGGUCCGUCCGUGUGGAGUCCCUCCAUCUUGGUGGUGGGGUGUGGUGUUUGAGUAUUGGAUAGUGGUUGCGAGCAUC
RNAcentral lists this unclassified non-coding RNA (208 nucleotides) under Mycobacterium avium. Its description in RNAcentral is "partial 16S-23S ribosomal RNA intergenic spacer". Lineage: Bacteria; Bacillati; Actinomycetota; Actinomycetes; Mycobacteriales; Mycobacteriaceae. The record is from RNAcentral.